UGGACAGAUUAUUGUAUUCGACUGUAUUCACGGCAUGAAAUAGGGGAUUACACUGUUUUUAAAACGAAAAUGAAUCAAUUAACAUAAUAGACUCCU
RNAcentral lists this microRNA precursor (96 nucleotides) under Nicotiana sylvestris (wood tobacco). RNAcentral's name for it is "MIR6152 microRNA precursor family". It matches the Rfam family "MIR6152 microRNA precursor family". Lineage: Eukaryota; Viridiplantae; Streptophyta; Magnoliopsida; Solanales; Solanaceae. RNAcentral also lists the same sequence under 1 other name. The record is from Rfam by way of RNAcentral.